RNAcentral lists this ribosomal RNA (561 nucleotides) under uncultured bacterium. RNAcentral describes it as "bacterial SSU rRNA". It matches the Rfam family "Bacterial small subunit ribosomal RNA", at positions 338 to 916 of the family's 1533-position model. The record is from RNAcentral.
CCUACGGGAGGCAGCAGUGAGGAAUUUUCCGCAAUGGGCGAAAGCCUGACGGAGCAAUACCGCGUGAGGGAUGAAGGAUUUUGGUCUGUAAACCUCUUUUCUCAAGAAAGAAGUUCUGACGGUACUUGAGGAAUAAGCAUCGGCUAACUCCGUGCCAGCAGCCGCGGUAAUACGGGGGAUGCAAGCGUUAUCCGGAAUGAUUGGGCGUAAAGCGCCUGUAGGUUGUUUAUUAAGUCCGUUGUUAAAGCCUAGGGCUCAACCCUAGAAAAGCAAUGGAAACUAGUAGACUAGAGUAUGGCAGGGGUAGAGGGAAUUUCUAGUGUAGCGGUGAAAUGCGUAGAUAUUAGAAAGAACACCGGUGGCGAAAGCGCUCUACUGGACCAUUACUGACACUCAGAGGCGAAAGCUAGGGUAGCAAAAGGGAUUAGAUACCCCCGUAGUCCUAGCCGUAAACGAUGGAUACUAGAUGUUGUGCAUUAUGUACAGUAUCGUAGCUAACGCGUUAAGUAUCCCGCCUGGGGAGUACGCUCGCAAGGGGUGAAACUCAAAAGGAAUUGACGG